RNAcentral lists this unclassified non-coding RNA (5275 nucleotides) under Hevea brasiliensis (rubber tree). Lineage: Eukaryota; Viridiplantae; Streptophyta; Magnoliopsida; Malpighiales; Euphorbiaceae. The record is from RNAcentral.
AUGGUUAUUCAACAAUGAUGACCUCAAACAAUGUCAAGCAGAGCAUCAUGACUCCUCUCGGAUGGCACGACCAAGAUUUGUGGCAAGAGCUAGUCUAACAGAGCUCAAGGCCUGGGGUGGCAAGUCAGCUUCAAUGAAGUCUGGGUGCAGCCUUGCCAUCGACAACUCUUGCAGUUUAUUCAACAAGAGGUUUGUUUGAGACACAUUCAAUAAAGGUCGCUCCUGCCAGUUUAGCAGUUUCAACGAAUCAUAAAGAAUUGGCAGCCAGAAACGUUGAGGUGUAGAAGUGUUUUUCAUAAGCGACAUUAGUGAUUCCACAGCUUGCUGAGUAGCAUCAGUAAUUUUUCCAUCAUUAACCUGCUUAAGAGACCUCUUAAAAUCCCUAUACUUGUGCAGGAACUCAAGACCCCCAGAAGGCUUGGAUUCUGAACCCAGCAAUUCAAUUAAACCUUCCCAUUGCUUGAAACUUUCAUCGGAGAUUGACUUUCCAACAGAAUUAAACAGCUGCUGAGCAAUUCUGUUAAGACAAACUUCAUCCCGAGCUUGUUGAAGCCAAAAAACGCCAUAACCUUUCCUACCAUGUUUCCAAUGGUAUACUCCAGCAAUCUUCAUAAUGUUUGAGCUGACACUGUCAAGUUCAUAAAGACGGCAAAUCUCCAAAUUCUUAACCAGUAAUUGAUUAUGUUGAACAGGCUGCCUGUACAAUAAAAUCUCCAAUAAUCCCAUUCCCUGCUUCAUACAAGACAUCAAAUAAAUUGGAGCAAUCUGCAGACACAAAAGAAUCAGGAUGAGUGAAAUCUGCUAGUCAAUAAAAGGAAAGAAUAAAUUAUUCCUGGCAAAAAAAUGAGAAGCAUUUAAUAAGGGUAAAAAUGCCAAAACAGAGAGCAUAAUCGACAUAUUGAAUAAUAGCACAAAACCAUAUCAUUUUUUAACCAGAAAAGAGAUAUUCAUUCAUGAAGAUAAAGAGAACAUCCUAUCAGUAACCAAUAGAUUAGCUAACUGGGUAGGAGGAUUCGAAAGCCAACUCGAAGGUAAAGCAUCAGUCCUCACUUUACCAGCUACCCAGUGAGCACAUCCAUUAGCUGUUCUAGGGAUGAAUUUGACAGACCAAUAAGGAUGCACAAAUAAAAGACUUAUAAUAUCAUGAACUACUGCUUUUAUCUCCCAGUGAAUAGGAUCUAAAGGGAAAGUUAGACAAGCUGUCAACUGGAGAUAAACUGAUUCAAAAGAAAUAUGAGACCAUCCUCAAUUUCUAGCUAACCAUAAUGCAGCCCGAAGACCUUGGGCUUCUGCUACCAGAGAAGAGGAACAAAAAAGAGAAGCUGCAUAUCCAUCAAUUAAAGCCCCUGCUGAGUUACGAACUACAACACCAAUACCUGCUCUUCCAGAGGUUCUAACAAAAGAGGCAUCAACAUUAAUUUUGACACAAUUUUGGUCAGGGGGACGCCAUGCAGAGAACACAGGAAAAUGUUGAUUUGGCAAUGAGGGAUGAUGCAGGGCCACCAAGAAAAACAGCUCAUCAACAGCAUUCUUAGCUUUUGUAAUAGUAGAAACAGGAUCUGGGUGGUGAGAAUCAAAGACUCAUGCAUUUUCUAGACUUCCAAAUAUAUCAGCAAGUCAUAGCCACUGAAAUUAGAAUAUUAGAAGAAUUCAGAUGCACUAAUUCUCCUAAACCGAGCCACCAAAAAGAGAAUGAUGAGAAACCAAUCUCACUUGGUUGAAGACCUAGUGAAAAACCAAACCAAGUAGCUCUAGCAUGGGCACAGAAUAAAAGACAGUGUUCCACAGUCUCCACUUGGCUACUGCAGACUGGGCACAAUGGGGAAUCUGAACAUUUUCUACUAUACAAGUUGGCCUUUAAAGCAUUAUUGCAAGCCCUCCACAAGAACAGUUUCACUUCCAGGGAAUGAAUAGAGACCAUAAUUUUUGCCAAAACUGAGGAAGGAUAUCUCAGGAGGAAGAAGGAUGGGCUGUUGAAAUGCAAUCUUGCUGAUUAAAUUUAAGUCUGUUAUAAACAGCUUUGAUAAAAGGGAUGCCCAUACAAGAAUGAUGCCAAAUCAUAACAGGAUCUCUAUGACAGCCUCCAAGGGGGAUUUUAAGAAUUUCCAGACAUUCAGCAAGUGAAAAAGAAGGCCUACGAAUGUUAAUAUCCCACUAAUUCCUUGCUGUAAUUAAAUCAGCUAUGUAAACAAUAGGGUUAUCCCGUGGUCGAGGACUUGCAAUUUUAAAACCAGGGAGAGAUGGAAUCCAAGGCUCCUCCCACACAAUAAGAAACGAAGAGAUGAAACAUGCCAUCUCAAACCAUCUCUGGCAGCUUCUCUUCCUUGGAUAAGACUGGACCAACCCCACAAUGGAUGAGAUCCUGGAUUGGCACUCAUAAAGUCCGUGAAGGGAUAAUAGAUGCCUUUAAUCACCUUAACUCAGAGCAUCAGGAUUUUUUAACAUCCUCCAAGCUUGCUUGGCUGAUAAAGCAUCAUUAAACAGCAUCAAAUCUCAAAAACCAAUUCCACCAUCCUUUUUUCUUCUGGAUAACUUAUGCCAGCCUAAUCAGUGGAUGUUGGAUUUAUCUAGAGAAUGUUGCCACCAAAAUUUAGAAGCCAACUGAUGGAGGUCACAAAUCAAACCACUGGGAAGCUUGAAAACUGACAUGAUGUAAGCUGGAAUGGCAUGUAUUACAGCCUUAAUGAGAAUUUCUCGCCCUGCUAUGGUUAGAAACUUAGCUUUCCAACAAAACAGCUUAGCUCUAACUCAAUCCUUGAGAAAAUUCAAUGCUUGAGAUUUUGACCGACCCCAGGAAAGAGGAAUACCCAAAUAUUUGGAAAGCAUACUCGAAUUAGGUAUAUAAAGAACAGAUUCCACAGCUUGCUUCACUGAAUCAGGCGUGUUACCACUGAAAGUAAAAUCUGAUUUUUAAAGAUUAAUACGCUACCCUGAACAUUGACUAUAAUCAUCCAAAAUCCUCUUAAGAUGUUAAGCUUCCGACCGAGAGGAACAUCCAAAAAGGAUCGUAUCAUCUACAAACAGCAAAUGGGUCAAAGUUGGACAUCUUCUAUUGAUCUUAAAUCCUGAGAUAACAUUCCCAUUAACUGCAUGAUCCAACAUUCUAGAUAACACAUCCGAAACUAGAAGACAAAGGUAUGGUGAUAUACGAUCACCUCGAUGGAUACCUCUGCCCGGAUGGGAAAAACUAGAAAUGUCUCCGUUGAUCGGAAUAGCAUGCUCCACAGAAGAUAUACAAUGAUGAAUACAAAAGACACUGUCGUACGCCUUAUGGAUGUCAACUUUGAUAGCCAUAGCACACUGGUUCCCUUUCUGAUGCCUUCUCAACGCAACAAAAGCUUUGUGGGCCACCAAGAUAUUAUCUUGAAUGCUCCGAUUAGGCACAAAUGCAGAUUGCCAAGUCAAGAUAUGAGAAGAUAGAACUUGAGCAUAAAUAAGUCGAUGGAGCUCCUCUAUGUUGAUUCCCCCCAAGUUAUCACGCUCCUCAUGUAAAAGAACUUCUGCUUGAUCACUCCCAGCAGUCAAAAACUCUAUGGCAUGAGCUGCCAUCCAAGUGCCAAAAUCUCUUGAGCAUUCUGCUAAUAUAACCUCUGUAUUUUCCCCAAGAAUUCCUACAAUAAGCCGCAUCAACUUAUGUGGAAUGGUCAUUGGUUUCAACUGAAUGCAUUUCUGAGCUAGGCUGUACAUGCUUUCUAAACCAACAGUGAAUGGCCUUAUGUACAGAAUGUGAGAUAUAUACAGCUCCAUCCAAUUACAGGUUGCAGUUGAGAGAAUGCUAGCAUUUCCCAACAUGAUCUGAAGCAUAUUUUUCAAGCCCUCUCGAGUCUGAAGGUGAUCACACUGAAGCCAGAAUGCACUGGACUCCAACUUAGUUACUUGUGCUCGCCAUCUCUCCCAUGCCUUCAUAAAAUCAGGCUUGGUUUUAAAGCAUUCACCCAAUUUUCCAGCUCCUAAUUCUGGACGCAAGCGUGGCAUCUUUGAAAUAAGAACUGCAACAGCCUCUACAAGGCCAUUCUCCGUCUCUCUACUGCCAAGCUGAUCCAGUUGAUAAGAUCCAUGCAAUCGCAACAUUUUCACGGCAAUCUCUAGCCAACCAACUGCUAAGGCUGAAGAUAUCACCUCCCAGUAUCUAGAAUCAUCCUCAAUGACCAGUAAUGUGACCAGUAGUCCUUGAAACUCCAUGAGUUUCAAAUAGACAGUUGCCUGUGUAUCUGAUAGGAGGCUAUCAUAAUCCUGCGACAAAGAAAAUCAUAAGAAUAACAGAAGUAAUAAGAGGGUUCCAGAAAAUAAUUCCCAAAAAUUGAUCAAACAAAAGGUAAUCAUUACAGCCAACCAAUUGACAAGAAGCUCAGUCAGCCAUGCUUGGGACAGCUUGUCUGCAUUAAACAUCUCCAUCAGAUCCCAUGCAGCCUUUAAACAAGUUGGUUCCCUAACUUUCUACACAAAAUGAGUCAGAUAAUCGUACAGGAAGUGAUUUUAAGCCAGAAAAAGAAACUCACUUUACUAACACAUUUGAAUCAGAUAUUAACCUUUAAAACUUCCUUUGGGGCUUCAAUCACUGGACCAGCAGGUGACUUUUGGAUGACCAAGAAGUGAACUUAUGUCCUUGCUGUACUCCAUUACAUACUCCCACUUGAUUUUAACCAUCAGAAAAAAAUGAAUUACAAAUAAUUAUUACAUAAUUAGCAUCAUGAUCAUUUGAGCUUCGCUUAAGCAAUGGAAGUAAUAUAACAAUGUAAAGCGAAAUUUUUUUAAUCAAAAUUUAAUUACAAAAAAAAGCUAAAAUUGCAAAUCAAUUAUCAUUCAAGAUGAUAAGGGGAUGGACUUAAUUGCAUUUUUGACAAACUCAAAGCCGAGUUCCUGCUACUCUGAAGAAGCGCGAAAGGAGCCGCAUGCGAUCCUCCACCAUUGCGCACCACGAAGUUCUCCAUCUCCGUUGCCGCCUAGCUUCACCUCCAUCACUUUUUCCCAUCGUCAUCAAGGUCGGAUUCGAAGGGCGGUGGGCGAAAACUGAGACGCGCAGGGUGUUGCCUAGAGCCCAAGAGAUAGAUAUCACGGGAAAUUGGGGGCUUUAAGCCGUGGCGGAGCGGGCACACUACAACAACCUCAUAGUCUGACAAAAAGGGAACCAACGCACCGUUGAUCGAAUUUGACGUUCCACCUCCGCCGGAGUCAGUCGCGAGGCCGGGCAUUGCGAGGGAAGAGGCAGAGUGCCCCAUUUUUAUAUUUUUUAUUUUUUAAAGAAACUUUUUUUAAAAAAAUUUUAUUGGUAAAU